This 632-nucleotide long non-coding RNA is filed under the name Physcomitrium patens. RNAcentral's name for it is "long non-coding RNA (PPAT_LNC013763)". Lineage: Eukaryota; Viridiplantae; Streptophyta; Bryopsida; Funariales; Funariaceae. The record is from RNAcentral.
UAGCUUUUUUACACCCGUGUACAACUUCCUUCAUAUCUCACAAAGUAAUUAUUCAAAUACUAUGAAACUUUGAUCUAAAGCUUCUUAAUCCAAUUACACACACUUGUAGAAAUUUUGAGCCAAAAAUUCGUCCAGACACUCAAGAUAUGGCUUCAUCCAUAACUAGCAAAAAAAUGAUAUACUUACUGCCUUCAAAUUACAAGUGCUGUCUUCAACGCCUCAUAACUCCUUCACCCAAUCUUAGAAUUCACUAUACAGUAAGUAGAAUGUGUAGCCAAGAAAAUGCUCCCUCCAAAUCCAGUCGCCGAUCUUCUGUUGCUCUCCGUAUUCGUAUGUGAUGCCCAAAAGAAGUGACAGUAGAUACGAAAUUGAUACCUUAUCUUUGAACAUUCAUAUCUUUUCCAUAAAAACUCGAAAUCACACAAAAUCUUCACCCAAAUUAUACCCAAAACCCUAAACCUUCUGACUCUAGCCUCAAAAGCUCGAAUGGCCUCGAAAGAGGAACCCUAAUUCCUAAUAUGGCCUCGGGCAGCCUCCUCAAAGCCCAUUAGGCAUGGUAUUCGACCAAUAGGGAUGAAGUUCUUCACCCCUUGCCUUCAUCCAACCAUGCCUUACUUUCAUCCUUCCCAAUA